RNAcentral lists this ribosomal RNA (293 nucleotides) under uncultured bacterium. RNAcentral describes it as "partial 16S ribosomal RNA". It matches the Rfam family "Archaeal small subunit ribosomal RNA", at positions 455 to 747 of the family's 1478-position model. The record is from RNAcentral.
GUGCCAGCCGCCGCGGUAAUACCGGCAGCCCGAGUGAUGGCCGAUCUUAUUGGGCCUAAAGCGUCCGUAGCUGGCCGCACAAGUCCGUCGGGAAAUCCACCCACCCAACGGGUGGGCGUCCGGUGGGAACUGCGUGGCUUGGGACCGGAAGGCGCGACGGGUACGUCCGGGGUAGGAGUGAAAUCCCGUAAUCCUGGACGGACCGCCGAUGGCGAAAGCACGUCGCGAAGACGGAUCCGACAGUGAGGGACGAAAGCCAGGGUCUCCAACCGGAUUAGAAACCCUAGUAGUCC